RNAcentral lists this ribosomal RNA (254 nucleotides) under uncultured prokaryote. RNAcentral describes it as "partial 16S ribosomal RNA". It matches the Rfam family "Bacterial small subunit ribosomal RNA", at positions 525 to 777 of the family's 1533-position model. The record is from RNAcentral.
ACGUGGGGCGCAAGCGUUGUCCGGAUUUAUUGGGCGUGAAGAGCUCGUAGGCGGCUUGUCGCGUCGACUGUGAAAACCUGCGGCUCAACCGUAUGGUCUGCAGUCGAUACGGGCAGGCUAGAGUUCGGUAGGGGAGACUGGAAUUCCUGGUGUAGCGGUGAAAUGCGCAGAUAUCAGGAGGAACACCGGUGGCGAAGGCGGGUCUCUGGGCUAUAACUGACGCUCAUGCACGAAAGCGUGGGGAGCAAACAGGA